AGCCUGAUCACUUGUGGCACCAUAACCACUACAGCAUGCUGUAGUGGUGAUGGUGCUGUGAGUGUUCCUUUA
Non-coding RNA from Pelobates cultripes (western spadefoot toad), 72 nucleotides. NCBI's taxonomy places the organism in Eukaryota, Metazoa, Chordata, Amphibia, Anura, Pelobatidae. The record is from the annotation of a GenBank genome assembly.